Molecule: non-coding RNA, 73 nt
Organism: Exophiala bonariae
Lineage: Eukaryota; Fungi; Ascomycota; Eurotiomycetes; Chaetothyriales; Herpotrichiellaceae
Source: the annotation of a RefSeq genome assembly
AGCAACGUGGCGCAGGGGUUAGCGCGCCGGGCUCAUAACCCGGAGGACGUUGGAUCGAUACCAACCGUUGCUA